This 440-nucleotide ribosomal RNA is filed under the name uncultured bacterium. Its description in RNAcentral is "partial 16S ribosomal RNA". It matches the Rfam family "Bacterial small subunit ribosomal RNA", at positions 338 to 795 of the family's 1533-position model. The record is from RNAcentral.
CCUACGGGAGGCAGCAGUAGGGAAUAUUGCUCAAUGGGGGAAACCCUGAAGCAGCAACGCCGCGUGGAUGAUGAAGGUUUUCGGAUUGUAAACUCCUUUUGUUAGAGAAGAUAAUGACGGUAUCUAACGAAUAAGCACCGGCUAACUCCGUGCCAGCAGCCGCGGUAAUACGGAGGGUGCAAGCGUUACUCGGAAUCACUGGGCGUAAAGAGCGCGUAGGCGGGAGAGCAAGUCAGAUGUGAAAGCCUAUGGCUUAACCAUAGAACUGCAUUUGAAACUGUUAUUCUAGAGUAUGGGAGAGGUAGGUGGAAUUCUUGGUGUAGGGGUAAAAUCCGUAGAGAUCAGGAGGAACACUCAUUGCGAAGGCGACCUGCUGGAACAUUACUGACGCUGAUGCACGAAAGCGUGGGGAGCAAACAGGAUUAGAUACCCCGGUAGUC